GGAAUAUUGGACAAUGGGCGAAAGCCUGAUCCAGCAAUGCCGCGUGAGUGAUGAAGGCCCUAGGGUUGUCAAGCUCUUUUACCCGGGAUGAUAAUGACAGUACCGGGAGAAUAAGCCCCGGCUAACUCCGUGCCAGCAGCCGCGGUAAUACGGAGGGGGCUAGCGUUGUUCGGAAUCACUGGGCGUAAAGCGCACGUAGGCGGCUUUGCAAGUCAGAGGUGAAAGCCCGGGGCUCAACCCCGGAAUAGCCUUUGAGACUGCAUCGCUUGAACGUCGGAGAGGUGAGUGGAAUUCCGAGUGUAGAGGUGAAAUUCGUAGAUAUUCGGAAGAACACCAGUGGCGAAGGCGGCUCACUGGACGACUGUUGACGCUGAGGUGCGAAAGCGUGGGGAGCAAAC
RNAcentral lists this ribosomal RNA (398 nucleotides) under uncultured bacterium. RNAcentral describes it as "bacterial SSU rRNA". It matches the Rfam family "Bacterial small subunit ribosomal RNA", at positions 358 to 773 of the family's 1533-position model. The record is from RNAcentral.